AAGGCAUCUCAGCGACUUCCCGGCAAUCAAAAGAUCAAAGGCUUUGUUUAUCUCCUCAAAUGGAAGCUCAUGAGUGAUGAAAUUAUCCAGCUUUAUCACCUAAGAAGUUAAUUAAAGACAUAACAACCAGGCAACUGACUUUUGCCUUUGAAACCUCCAAACACCGAUCCUUCAAUUCUGCGACCGUCAAAGAGCUCCAUUGGAUGGAUGGGAAGCAACUUUGGUGAUGCAUGAAUUCCCAACAGUACAGUCAAUCCCCAACCCUGCAUUUCAAAAAUUGACAUGAAAUUUUAUAGUGCACAAUUUUAAACUAGAAAACUGUUUCUGUGAUCAGUUUUGAAUUGGAUCCUUGCUUUCAAAUAAGGAUGAAGUUUGUUUAUGAAGAAAAGUUGAAAUACUAUAUACUAUAUA
Lathyrus oleraceus (garden pea) is the source of this 411-nucleotide long non-coding RNA. RefSeq lists it as uncharacterized. The record is from RefSeq and is a predicted model, not a curated record. The transcript is spliced from 2 exons. Lineage: Eukaryota; Viridiplantae; Streptophyta; Magnoliopsida; Fabales; Fabaceae.